GACAGAGGAUGCAAGCGUUAUCCGGAAUGAUUGGGCGUAAAGCGUCUGUAGGUGGCUUUUUAAGUCUGCCGUCAAAUCCCAGGGCUUAACCCUGGACAGGCGGUGGAAACUACCAAGCUGGAGUACGGUAGGGGCAGGGGGAAUUUCCGGUGGAGCGGCGAAAUGCGUAGAGAUCGGAAAGAACACCAACGGCGAAAGCACUCUGCUGGGCCGACACUGACACUGAGAGACGAAAGCUAGGGGAGCGAAUGGG
RNAcentral lists this ribosomal RNA (253 nucleotides) under uncultured bacterium. Its description in RNAcentral is "partial 16S ribosomal RNA". It matches the Rfam family "Bacterial small subunit ribosomal RNA", at positions 524 to 776 of the family's 1533-position model. The record is from RNAcentral.